This 245-nucleotide ribosomal RNA is filed under the name uncultured bacterium. RNAcentral describes it as "partial small subunit ribosomal RNA". It matches the Rfam family "Bacterial small subunit ribosomal RNA", at positions 26 to 285 of the family's 1533-position model. The record is from RNAcentral.
AGAAUCAACGCUGGCGGCGUGCCUAACACAUGCAAGUCGAACGAGAAAGUGGAGCAAUCCAUAAGUAAAGUGGCGCACGGGUGAGUAACACGUGACUAACCUACCCUGGAGUGGGGAAUAACUGAGGGAAACCUUAGCUAAUACCGCAUAACACCUACGGGUCAAAGGAGCAAUUCGCUUUGGGAGGGGGUCGCGGCAGAUUAGCUAGUUGGCGGGGUAAUGGCCCACCAAGGCGAUGAUCUGUA